AUGGUUAAUGUAGUUCUGAGCCUUCGUAGUUUUCAGGUCACGCUUCCGCAUACCAAAUGCAUGUCAGAUGGUACACCCUUGGGAAGGAGGCCCAAAGAUCACAGCCCCCCCCCCCCAAAAAAAAAAACCCCUGAAACACCUACUUUCCCCCUCCAGCUAAAAUCGAACAGUCGCGAGCCACCUCAAGUCCUGGUAAAUAACUAGAAGUGGCUUACGAUGCACGUGAGGACAAAGCCGAAAACAAAUGUCUACAUGAACAACAGCGGGUGGAGCCAACAGGAUCCGUUUGAUGAUUUGAUACCACCUACAGCCAGACAGAACCUGGCUGACACAUAUGUUACAUGUACUAUGCAGUCUAUACUAUCCAAGUAUGCACAAUUGUGUACAUAAGCCUAACCAUGUCUUACUCCACAGAUAGGGUAAUUACAGACGGAAGCAUGCGCUAUACUACAUCAUAUUUCAUACAUCAUACUACUACAUACAAGAGUAGCUCUCAGAGCAUUGGCAGCGUCUUGGGCAGUUCAAACUUGGCGCUCUACCAAUUACUCAUAGCUGUUCUCACCAGCCAUUGGUCAAUGCUACAUUCAAAUGAACUUCCAUAUAUGGUGUUGUCACGUGUUCUAUUCCUAAAAUAGCCUAGUUACCUAGUAACAUAAACAUCUGUUACAAAUACUCUAUACGCCUUUUAUCUUAUCUGUCUCAGUCUCUUCUUCCAGUGUCCGGCAAAGUAAAAAAGAUAGACUGGACAUAUUUUUUGAACGUGUUCGCCUUUUUAAGACUCUUUUAACCUUAGGCAUUUUGGCAUCAACAAAACUGGUACCUGUGAACUUGCUAAUAAGGCUACCUAAGAAUGAUUAUGAAUGUCUUAUGCUACGGUCACAUUUCCAAACCAGAAGUUACCGGAAUAAAGAAAUAAAGCUACAUUUAUGAAGGAUAGACAUCCAAAUUAACAAUAUUCAAAUCCAAUCCAAUAGAGAUUGAAUUGUAUUCGAAAAAGUAAAGCUGUUGUAACGAUGGCAUAUCUGGCCAUGUUAUGAUAAUAUUGUUAAUACUCUCUUUACUUCUAUGUAUGUUAAGUUACAGCCCAUAGCAACAGUGAUGGUUGCCUUCUCGUUCACACCUUGUUCAUUAUGUAUGCAUUUGCUCUCUUUGAUGUGUAGUUAAUGGUCCCUCUGUUAAUUCCCUGUCUGCCAGUUCUAUUCUGCAAGACAAUAGGAUUGUCUGGCCAACACAACCUUGUACUUGUAUGUGAAAAGUAACAGGACUAGUUCAUCCAUAUCAAUAGAAUAAUGCCGACUUAUUAGGAUAGGAUAAAUAGAAUAGCAAACUAGAGUUGAGGGCAGUCCUUGAGUUCAGUCGAUGUAAGAGAACAGUCUGUACAGAGACACUGCCGUAACUGGAAUACCCGCCGAGCCGUAUUGAAGCCUGAUCCGUGCCUGUAACUGCCCUCUACAUACUUCUAAUUUGUUCACGAGAGCUGCCCAAUCGGACCCCGGUUUGGAACUGUUACCGUAAAACUACCCCCAGCUUGAGGAGCGAAAGUUGCCUGGUCGGUUCCCGUUUGGAAAUGUGACCGUAACAUUACCCUUAUUUUUGAGGAGCUGUUGAAGAUCUUGUUUGAGAGAUUUAGUAAUUCUUUUGGCAAAUCUUUUAUCGAAUAUUGUGUUGACCCUUUCACCUCACCUAGUAUUAGGCCACAGUAAGUAGCUAUUGUGGAUGACAUCAGCGCGAAUGAAUCCUUCCUCUCAGAAAAUGGUAAAGAGAAAAUAUAAAAAUGAGAAAAUAUGCCUUGUAGCCUUGAUUGUACUAGUAGAAGUGACACUACUGUGGUAGCAAUGAGUAUAGUUGUUGAAGUGAAAAUAGUUCGGAGGUUGUGGAGGUAAUAGAGCGAAGUUUCUAACUUGGUUCGAACAAGAAUAAAAGACAUGUUAGCUCAAAAUGAUACGUGACCAUGUUUUACCAUUGUUGUUACAACGUUUAUGAUGUCCAUGUUUUGAAAAUUUAGGCAUCUUGUUUUUAUAGUCAUGUUGUUUUUUUCACCUUAUCGUAUAAAAUUUGGAGUCUGCAUCGGAUGUCAUCCAUAUAAUUUACAUGCUGUGGCCUUUUGGGUGUCGCCUGUACCAUGCAGUGACAUGCCGCCCCGGUAACUAAGACCACAUGUACAGGAGUAGGGAGACAGAGACGUGGCAGUUAGGAAGGAGCACAGCUACAGCUAGCAAGACGUGCCUUGGACGGUUCACAGAGGGCUGGAGAACAGACCAAAAUUGAUCUUUCACAAGAAGGUCGGAUAGAGAGCGAGUGAACUGUAGUCUGGAUGCCUGCACAGGCAAACUCCUCGGCACUAGGGCCAGCAUGCCCCAAAGGAAGACCUCAUGGUUAAGAUUUCAUUGGGAGUAUCUUGCUCCUGGAGCUGGGCUGUGUAGGCCCUAGAAACAAACAUUCUGACGUCGAGGCUAAUGGAACUGAGGUCCGUAGCGGGCAGGCCUGGUAGCAGGCUGAUGACGAGCCGUUAACUGAACCUAGCAGUGACCAGCGACCGGGGAGGAGGAAAGAACACAGAACUUUGAGGUCCGACCCCAGACUCCGAGGCCGCUGGUCCGGAAAUCUCGGACGAUGCAGAGGGGCAAAACGGCCAUGCGGCACUGAGGUCCGAGCGGGAAAAAGAUUUGGAGACUGUUUGACUGAGGAAAGUAACGGUCAUCUUCUCCGCCCGCAGUGACAACGACACAGUGGUCCGAACAGUUCUUGUACGUCACUGACCCCCUCAGACG
Molecule: long non-coding RNA, 2771 nt
Organism: Branchiostoma floridae (Florida lancelet)
Lineage: Eukaryota; Metazoa; Chordata; Leptocardii; Amphioxiformes; Branchiostomatidae
Exons: 3
Source: RefSeq, a predicted model, not a curated record